This 331-nucleotide long non-coding RNA is filed under the name Homo sapiens (human). Its description in RNAcentral is "HSALNT0059041". The record is from RNAcentral. Lineage: Eukaryota; Metazoa; Chordata; Mammalia; Primates; Hominidae.
GGUGGGAAAGCCGGAGGGAGGGUCUGGCUGGCGGCAGCGCGCAAGGCCGCACCGGGUCACGCUUGAUUCCCGCGGAAUGGGGCGCAGGUUGCCAGACCGGGUCCCCAGUGCUAGGGCUCAAGGAAGAAUUUGUUCAUGCAGAAGAUUUAGAAAAAUACUAUGUAAAAGAGUUUGGAGUAAGCCUCCCUUAAUAUAAAUGAGAUUUAUUAUCCUGCCGGAAAAAGCAGAUUAUGUUUCUUAUUACUGAACGCCUGAAGUACCAACGACUCAACCAGAGCCCACAGAAUUCAAUAUCCUGGGUGGUAAAAGGAACAAAUAAAGCAACACGGAA